This 423-nucleotide ribosomal RNA is filed under the name uncultured bacterium. Its description in RNAcentral is "bacterial SSU rRNA". It matches the Rfam family "Bacterial small subunit ribosomal RNA", at positions 207 to 622 of the family's 1533-position model. The record is from RNAcentral.
AAGACCUUGCACUUUUGGAGCGGCCGAUGUCUGAUUAGCUAGUUGGUGGGGUAAUGGCCUACCAAAGCUUCGAUCAGUAGCUGGUCUGAGAGGACGGCCAGCCACACUGGGACUGAGACACGGCCCAGACUCCUACGGGAGGCAGCAGCGGGGAAUUUUGGACAAUGGGCGCAAGCCUGAUCCAGCCAUGCCGCGUGAGUGAAGAAGGCCUUCGGGUUGUAAAGCUCUUUCAGCCGGGAAGAAAAGGCUACGACGAAUAAUCGUAGCUCAUGACGGUACCGGAAGAAGAAGCACCGGCUAACUACGUGCCAGCAGCCGCGGUAAUACGUAGGGUGCGAGCGUUAAUCGGAAUUACUGGGCGUAAAGGGUGCGCAGGCGGUUUUGUAAGUCAGAUGUGAAAUCCCCGGGCUUAACCUGGGAACU